Molecule: long non-coding RNA, 227 nt
Organism: Pocillopora damicornis (cauliflower coral)
Lineage: Eukaryota; Metazoa; Cnidaria; Anthozoa; Scleractinia; Pocilloporidae
Source: RefSeq, a predicted model, not a curated record
GAGACUCAACAAUAAUUUCUUGAGGCAACUUAACGAUGACGUUUUUGGUGAAACAACUAAGCUUCAAUACUUAGAUAUUGGUGAAAACCUUCUUGUUGACCUUCAUGAAGACAUUUUCGACAAUUUGACAGACUUGCGAAUCUUAAGCCUGCGAUCUAACAGUAUUCGUCAGAUUAAGAGGGAUGUGUUUAAACGCACAACACGCCUAACUCAUUUGUAAGUAGAGC